RNAcentral lists this ribosomal RNA (253 nucleotides) under uncultured bacterium. RNAcentral's name for it is "partial 16S ribosomal RNA". It matches the Rfam family "Bacterial small subunit ribosomal RNA", at positions 524 to 776 of the family's 1533-position model. The record is from RNAcentral.
UACGAAGGGGGCUAGCGUUGCUCGGAAUCACUGGGCGUAAAGCGUGCGCAGGCGGUUCGUUGUGUCGGCGGUGAAAGCCCCGGGCUUAACCUGGGAAUGGCCGUUGAAACUGGCGAACUGGAGUGUGGCAGAGGGGGGUGGAAUUCCGCGUGUAGCAGUGAAAUGCGUAGAGAUGCGGAGGAACACCGAUGGCGAAGGCAGCCCCCUGGGCUAACACUGACGCUCAGGCACGAAAGCGUGGGGAGCAAACAGG